UACGUAGGCAGCGAGCGUUGUUCGGAGUUACUGGGCGUAAAGGGUGUGUAGGCGGUUUUCUAAGUUUGGUGUGAAAUCUCCCGGCUCAACCGGGAGGGUGCGCCGAAAACUGGGAGACUAGAGUGCGGGAUGGGAGAGUAAAAUUCCUGGUGUAGCGGUGAAAUGCGUAGAUAUCAGGAGGAAUACCGGUGGUGUAGACGGCUCUCUGGACCGCCACUGACGCUGAGACACGAAAGCGUGGGUAGCAAACAGG
This 253-nucleotide ribosomal RNA is filed under the name uncultured bacterium. RNAcentral describes it as "partial 16S ribosomal RNA". It matches the Rfam family "Bacterial small subunit ribosomal RNA", at positions 524 to 776 of the family's 1533-position model. The record is from RNAcentral.